CCCUUAGAUGUUCUGGGCCGCACGCGCGCCACACUGAUGAAUUCAACGAGCCUAGCCUUGUCCGAAAGGUCCGGGUAAUCUCUGAAACUUCAUCGUGAUGGGGAUAGAUCAUUGCAAUUAUUGAUCUUCAACGAGGAAUUCCUAGUAAGCGCAAGUCAUCAGCUUGCGUUGAUUACGUCCCUGCCCUUUGUACACACCGCCCGUCGCUUGUACCGAUUGGAUGGUCCGGUGAAAUCUUCGGAUAGCUGGUAGUUGGCUUGCCAUCUACUGCUAAAAGUUGCUUAAACCUUAUCAUCUAGAGGAACAAGAAGUCGUAACA
RNAcentral lists this ribosomal RNA (319 nucleotides) under uncultured eukaryote. RNAcentral's name for it is "partial 18S ribosomal RNA". It matches the Rfam family "Eukaryotic small subunit ribosomal RNA", at positions 1470 to 1796 of the family's 1831-position model. The record is from RNAcentral.